GACGAACGCUGGCGGCGUGCUUAACACAUGCAAGUCGAGCGGUAAGGCCUUUCGGGGUCCACGAGCGGCGAACGGGUGAGUAACACGUGGGUGAUCUGCCCUGCACUUCGGGAUAAGCCUGGGAAACUGGGUCUAAUACCGGAUAUGACCUCCUAUCGCAUGGUGGGUGGUGGAAAGAUUUAUCGGUGCAGGAUGGGCCCGCGGCCUAUCAGCUUGUUGGUGGGGUAAUGGCCUACCAAGGCGACGACGGGUAGCCGACCUGAGAGGGUGACCGGCCACACUGGGACUGAGACACGGCCCAGACUCCUACGGGAGGCAGCAGUGGGGAAUAUUGCACAAUGGGCGAAAGCCUGAUGCAGCGACGCCGCGUGAGGGAUGACGGCCUUCGGGUUGUAAACCUCUUUCAGCAGGGACGAAGCGCAAGUGACGGUACCUGCAGAAGAAGCACCGGCUAACUACGU
Molecule: ribosomal RNA, 461 nt
Filed under: uncultured bacterium
Lineage: Bacteria
Description: partial 16S ribosomal RNA
Rfam family: Bacterial small subunit ribosomal RNA
Source: RNAcentral